CAGUCGCCACGGGAAUACGUAGGUGGCAAGCGUUGUCCGGAAUUAUUGGGUGUAAAGGGCUCGCAGGCGGUUUCUUAAGUCUGAUGUGAAAGCCCCCGGCUCAACCGGGGAGGGUCAUUGGAAACUGGGAAACUUGAGUGCAGAAGAGGAGGGUGGAAUUCCACGUGUAGCGGUGAAAUGCGUAGAGAUGUGGAGGAACACCAGUGGCGAAGGCGACUCUCUGGUCCGUAACUGACGCUGAGGAACGAAAGCGUGGGGAGCGAACAGGAUUAGAUACCCCGGUAGUCCCUGUCUCUUAUAC
This 301-nucleotide ribosomal RNA is filed under the name uncultured bacterium. RNAcentral describes it as "partial 16S ribosomal RNA". It matches the Rfam family "Bacterial small subunit ribosomal RNA", at positions 509 to 807 of the family's 1533-position model. The record is from RNAcentral.